UAUUGGUCAAUGGACGCGAGUCUGAACCAGCCAAGUAGCGUGAAGGAUGACUGCCCUAUGGGAUGUAAACUUCUUUUAUAUGGGAAUAAAGUUUUCCACGUGUGGAAUUUUGUAUGUACAAUAUGAAUAAGGAUCGGCGAACUCCGUGCAAGCAGCCGCGGUAAUACGGAGGAGCCGAGCGUUAUCCGGAUUUAUUGGGUUUAAAGGGAGCGUAGGUGGAUUGUUAAGUCAGGUGUGAAAGUUUGCGGCUCAACCGUAAAAUUGCAGUUGAAACUGGCAGUCUUGAGUACAGUAGAGGUGGGCGGAAUUCGUGGUGUAGCGGUGAAAUGCUUAGAUAUCACGAAGAACUCCGAUUGCGAAGGCAGCUCACUGGACUGCAACUGACACUGAUGCUCGAAAGUUUGGGUAUCAAAC
This 414-nucleotide ribosomal RNA is filed under the name uncultured bacterium. Its description in RNAcentral is "bacterial SSU rRNA". It matches the Rfam family "Bacterial small subunit ribosomal RNA", at positions 362 to 773 of the family's 1533-position model. The record is from RNAcentral.